GAUCUUGGUUCAGGACGAACGCUGGCGGCGUGCCUAAUACAUGCAAGUCGAACGGUCUUUUCUAUGGAAGCUUGCUUCCACUGAGAAGAUAGUGGCGAACGGGUGAGUAACACGUGGGUAACCUGCCCAUAAGAGGGGGAUAACAUCCGGAAACGGGUGCUAAUACCGCAUAGUUUUCUUGAUCGCAUGAUCGGGAAAGGAAAGACGGCCUUUGUGCUGUCGCUUAUGGAUGGACCCGCGGCGUAUUAGUUAGUUGGUGAGGUAACGGCUCACCAAGACGAUGAUACGUAGCCGACCUGAGAGGGUGAUCGGCCACAUUGGGACUGAGACACGGCCCAAACUCCUACGGGAGGCAGCAGUAGGGAAUCUUCCGCAAUGGACGAAAGUCUGACGGAGCAACGCCGCGUGAGUGAAAGAAGGUUUUCGGAUCGUAAAACUCUGUUGUCAGAGAAGAACAAGUUGGAGAGUAACUGCUCCAGCCUUGACGGUAUCUGACCAGAAAGCCACGGCUAACUACGUGCCAGCCGCCGC
Molecule: ribosomal RNA, 531 nt
Filed under: uncultured bacterium
Lineage: Bacteria
Description: bacterial SSU rRNA
Rfam family: Bacterial small subunit ribosomal RNA
Source: RNAcentral